CGGGGGGGCAAGCGUUGUUCGGAAUUACUGGGCGUAAAGGGCUCGUAGGCGGCCAACUAAGUCCGACGUGAAAUCCCCAGGCUUAACCUGGGAACUGCGUCGGAUACUGGAUGGCUUGAAUUCGGGAGAGGGAUGCAGAAUCCCAGGUGUAGCGGUGAAAUGCGUAGAUAUCUGGAGGAAUACCGGUGGCGAAGGCGGCAUCCUGGACCGACAUUGACGCUAAUGAGCGAAAGCUAGGGGAGCAAACGGGAUUAGAUACCCCGGUAGUCCUAGCCCUAAACGAUGAAUGCUUGGUGUGGCGGGUAUCGAUCCCUGCCGUGCCGAAGCUAACGCAUUAAGCAUUCCGCCUGGGGAGUACGGUCGCAAGGCUG
RNAcentral lists this ribosomal RNA (371 nucleotides) under uncultured organism. Its description in RNAcentral is "bacterial SSU rRNA". It matches the Rfam family "Bacterial small subunit ribosomal RNA", at positions 527 to 896 of the family's 1533-position model. The record is from RNAcentral.